Molecule: ribosomal RNA, 1364 nt
Filed under: uncultured bacterium
Lineage: Bacteria
Description: partial 16S ribosomal RNA
Rfam family: Bacterial small subunit ribosomal RNA
Source: RNAcentral
CGGGGGUUUAUUUAUUUUAAAUUUUUUUUUUUCCCCCUUUUUCUUAUUAUUAUAGGAAGGAGAGAUAAAGGCCCCGCGGAGAAAAAAAAAUUUUUGGGGUUUUAAAACCCUCUUUUUAAUUGUUUUCUCUCUUUUAAAAAGAACAUUUUUUUUUUUUUGAAAUUAAAAGGGUUUACGGGUUUUGGAGAGGGGGUUUUGGGCUUUUUUUUUUAAUUUUUUUGGGGGGAGGGAAAGGGGCUUCCCCUUAAGAUUUUGAAAAGAAAAGGGGCCCCGGAAAAGGGGGGCCCCCCCCCCCCUGGGUAUUAAGCCCCGGGCCCAGAAUCCUUCGGGGAGGCAGCCAUAAGGGAAUAUUGGUCAAUGGAGAAAAGUUUUGACCCAGCCCAUGCCGCGUCCAGGAUGAAUCCCUUAUGGGUUUUUAAACUGCUUUUAUACAGGAAAGAAAAACUUUUUUCGUGGGAAAGCUUGACGGGUACUGUAAGAAUAAGGAUCGGCUAACUCCGUGCCAGCAGCCGCGGUAAUACGGAGGAUCCAAGCGUUAUCCGGAAUUAUUGGGUUUAAAGGGUCCGUAGGUGGAUAAUUAAGUCAGAGGUGAAAUCCUGCAGCUUAACUGUAGAAUUGCCUUUGAUACUGGUUAUCUUGAGUUAUUAUGAAGUGAUUAGAAUGUGUAGUGUAGCGGUGAAAUGCAUAGAUAUUACACAGAAUACCAAUUGCGAAGGCAGGUCACUAAUAAUCAACUGACACUGAGGGACGAAAGCGUGGGUAGCGAACAGGAUUAGAUACCCUGGUAGUCCACGCCGUAAACGAUGGUCACUAGCUGUUUGGACUUCGGUCUGAGUGGCUAAGCGAAAGUGAUAAGUGACCCACCUGGGGAGUACGUUCGCAAGAAUGAAACUCAAAGGAAUUGACGGGGGCCCGCACAAGCGGUGGAGCAUGUGGUUUAAUUCGAUGAUACGCGAGGAACCUUACCAGGGCUUAAAUGUUUGGUGACAGAUCUAGAAAUAGGUUUUUCUUCGGACACUAAACAAGGUGCUGCAUGGUUGUCGUCAGCUCGUGCCGUGAGGUGUCAGGUUAAGUCCUAUAACGAGCGCAACCCCUGUUGUUAGUUGCCAGCGAGUAAUGUCGGGAACUCUAACAAGACUGCCAGUGCAAACUGUGAGGAAGGUGGGGAUGACGUCAAAUCAUCACGGCCCUUAUGUCCUGGGCUACACACGUGCUACAAUGGUAGGUACAGAGAGCAGCCAAUGCGCGAGCAUGAGCAAAUCUAUAAAACCUAUCUCAGUUCGGAUCGAAGUGUGCAACUCGACUCCGUGAAGCUGGAAUCGCUAGUAAUCGGAUAUCAGCAAUAUGCUUGGAUCGCGCCGCUA